This 418-nucleotide ribosomal RNA is filed under the name bacterium enrichment culture clone ALO1_GLFRUDD03GJGM8. RNAcentral describes it as "bacterial SSU rRNA". It matches the Rfam family "Bacterial small subunit ribosomal RNA", at positions 9 to 430 of the family's 1533-position model. The record is from RNAcentral.
GAGUUUGAUCCUGGCUCAGAUUGAACGCUGGCGGCAUGCCUUACACAUGCAAGUCGAACGGCAGCACGGGAGCUUGCUCCUGGUGGGCGAGUGGCGAACGGGUGAGUAAUGCAUCGGAACGUAUCCUGGAGUGGGGGAUAACGUAGCGAAAGUUACGCUAAUACCGCAUAUUCUGUGAGCAGGAAAGCGGGGGACCUUCGGGCCUCGCGCUCUUGGAGCGGCCGAUGUCGGAUUAGCUAGUUGGUGAGGUAAAGGCUCACCAAGGCGACGAUCCGUAGCAGGUCUGAGAGGAUGAUCUGCCACACUGGAACUGAGACACGGUCCAGACUCCUACGGGAGGCAGCAGUGGGAAUUUUGGACAAUGGGGGCAACCCUGAUCCAGCCAUGCCGCGUGAGUGAAGAAGGCCUCGGUGUAAGU